Molecule: ribosomal RNA, 1549 nt
Filed under: Streptococcus suis
Lineage: Bacteria; Bacillati; Bacillota; Bacilli; Lactobacillales; Streptococcaceae
Description: bacterial SSU rRNA
Rfam family: Bacterial small subunit ribosomal RNA
Source: RNAcentral
UUUUAUGAGAGUUUGAUCCUGGCUCAGGACGAACGCUGGCGGCGUGCCUAAUACAUGCAAGUAGAACGCUGAAGUCUGGUGCUUGCACUAGACGGAUGAGUUGCGAACGGGUGAGUAACGCGUAGGUAACCUGCCUCAUAGCGGGGGAUAACUAUUGGAAACGAUAGCUAAUACCGCAUAACAGUAUUUACCGCAUGGUAGAUAUUUGAAAGGAGCAAUUGCUUCACUAUGAGAUGGACCUGCGUUGUAUUAGCUAGUUGGUGAGGUAACGGCUCACCAAGGCUUCGAUACAUAGCCGACCUGAGAGGGUGAUCGGCCACACUGGGACUGAGACACGGCCCAGACUCCUACGGGAGGCAGCAGUAGGGAAUCUUCGGCAAUGGGGGCAACCCUGACCGAGCAACGCCGCGUGAGUGAAGAAGGUUUUCGGAUCGUAAAGCUCUGUUGUAAGAGAAGAACUGUGAGAAGAGUGGAAAGUUUCUCACUUGACGGUAUCUUACCAGAAAGGGACGGCUAACUACGUGCCAGCAGCCGCGGUAAUACGUAGGUCCCGAGCGUUGUCCGGAUUUAUUGGGCGUAAAGCGAGCGCAGGCGGUUUGAUAAGUCUGAAGUAAAAGGCUGUGGCUUAACCAUAGUACGCUUUGGAAACUGUCAAACUUGAGUGCAGAAGGGGAGAGUGGAAUUCCAUGUGUAGCGGUGAAAUGCGUAGAUAUAUGGAGGAACACCGGUGGCGAAAGCGGCUCUCUGGUCUGUAACUGACGCUGAGGCUCGAAAGCGUGGGGAGCGAACAGGAUUAGAUACCCUGGUAGUCCACGCCGUAAACGAUGAGUGCUAGGUGUUGGGUCCUUUCCGGGACUCAGUGCCGCAGCUAACGCAUUAAGCACUCCGCCUGGGGAGUACGACCGCAAGGUUGAAACUCAAAGGAAUUGACGGGGGCCCGCACAAGCGGUGGAGCAUGUGGUUUAAUUCGAAGCAACGCGAAGAACCUUACCAGGUCUUGACAUCCCGAUGACCGCCCUAGAGAUAGGGUUUCUCUUCGGAGCAUCGGUGACAGGUGGUGCAUGGUUGUCGUCAGCUCGUGUCGUGAGAUGUUGGGUUAAGUCCCGCAACGAGCGCAACCCCUAUUGUUAGUUGCCAUCAUUCAGUUGGGCACUCUAGCGAGACUGCCGGUAAUAAACCGGAGGAAGGUGGGGAUGACGUCAAAUCAUCAUGCCCCUUAUGACCUGGGCUACACACGUGCUACAAUGGCUGGUACAACGAGUCGCAAGUCGGUGACGGCAAGCUAAUCUCUUAAAGCCAGUCUCAGUUCGGAUUGUAGGCUGCAACUCGCCUACAUGAAGUCGGAAUCGCUAGUAAUCGCGGAUCAGCACGCCGCGGUGAAUACGUUCCCGGGCCUUGUACACACCGCCCGUCACACCACGAGAGUUUGUAACACCCGAAGUCGGUGAGGUAACCUUUUAGGAGCCAGCCGCCUAAGGUGGGAUAGAUGAUUGGGGCGAAGUCGUAACAAGGUAGCCGUAUCGGAAGGUGCGGCUGGAUCACCUCCUUU